This 1689-nucleotide ribosomal RNA is filed under the name Trichobius dugesii. RNAcentral's name for it is "SSU rRNA". It matches the Rfam family "Eukaryotic small subunit ribosomal RNA". Lineage: Eukaryota; Metazoa; Arthropoda; Insecta; Diptera; Streblidae. The record is from RNAcentral.
GCCAUGCAGGUCUAAGUACACACGAAUUAACAGUGAAACCGCCAAAGGCUUAUUAUAUUUGUUAUGGUUCCUUAGAUAGUUAGCAGUUACUUGGAUAACUGUGGUAAUUCUAGAGCUAAUACAUGCAUUUAUAAUUUAUUGGGACGUGUGCUUUUAUUACGCUAUAAUCAAGGGUUGUUAAUUGGUUGAACUCUAAAUAACGUGCAGAUCGUAUGGUCUUGUACCGAUGACAGAUCUUUCAAAUGUCUGCCCUAUCAACUUUUGAUGGUAGUAUCGAGGGCUACCAUGGUUGCAACGGGUGACGGGGAAUCAGGGUUCGAUUCCGGAGAGGGAGCCUGAGAAACGGCUGCCACAUCUAAGGAAGGCAGCAGGCGCGUAAAUUACCCACUCCCAGCUCGGGGAGGUAGUGACGAAAAAUAACAAUACAGGACUCAUAUUCGAGGCUCUGUAAUUGGAAUGAGUACACUUUAAAUCCUUUAACGAGGACCUAUUGGAGGGCAAGUCUGGUGCCAGCAGCCGCGUUUAGUCUGUUCUAUACCUAAUGUAUGUAAGCGUAUUACCGGUGGAUAUAAACUUGCUUCAAUGCUCUUCAUCGGGUGUUGUUGUGGGCCGGUACAAUUACUUUGAACAAAUUAGAGUGCUUAAAGCAGGCUCCAAAUGCCUGAAUAUUUUGUGCAUGGGAUAAUGAAAUAAGACCUCUGUUCUACUUUCAUUGGUUUUUAGAUCAAGAGGUAAUGAUUAAUAGAAGCAGUUUGGGGGCAUUAGUAUUACGACGCGAGAGGUGAAAUUCUUGGACCGUCGUAAGACUAACUUAAGCGAAAGCAUUUGCCAAAGAUGUUUUCAUUAAUCAAGAACGAAAGUUAAGGUUCGAAGGCGAUCAGAUACCGCCCUAGUUCUAACCAUAAACGAUGCCAGCUAGCAAUUGGGUGUAGCUAAUAUUAUGGCUCUCUCAGUCGCUUCCCGGGAAACCAAAGCUUUUGGGCUCCGGGGGAAGUAUGGUUGCAAAGCUGAAACUUAAAGGAAUUGACGGAAGGGCACCACCAGGAGUGGAGCCUGCGGCUUAAUUUGACUCAACACGGGAAAACUUACCAGGUCCGAACAUAAGCGUGUAAGACAGAUUGAUAGCUCUUUCUCGAAUCUAUGGGUGGUGGUGCAUGGCCGUUCUUAGUUCGUGGAGUGAUUUGUCUGGUUAAUUCCGAUAACGAACGAGACUCAAAUAUAUUAAAUAGAUGCUUUCAGGAUUAUGGUGACGAAGCUUUUAUGGCCUUCAUUCGCGAAUACGUAUGUGUUUAUAAAAGUGGAGCCGUACCUGUUGGUUUGUCUCAUUAUAAGACACUAGCUUCUUAAAUGGACAAAUUGCGUCUAGCAAUAAUGAGAUUGAGCAAUAACAGGUCUGUGAUGCCCUUAGAUGUCCUGGGCUGCACGCGCGCUACAAUGAAAGUAUCAACGUGUAUUUCCUAGACCGAGAGGUCCGGGUAAACCGCUGAACCACUUUCAUGCUUGGGAUUGUGAAUUGGAACUGUUCACAUGAACUUGGAAUUCCCAGUAAGUGUGAGUCAUUAACUCGCAUUGAUUACGUCCCUGCCCUUUGUACACACCGCCCGUCGCUACUACCGAUUGAAUUAUUUAGUGAGGUCUCCGGACGUGAUCACUGCAACGCAUUCUUGUGUUGCGGAUGUUUCGCAGAAA